Molecule: ribosomal RNA, 223 nt
Filed under: uncultured bacterium
Lineage: Bacteria
Description: partial 16S ribosomal RNA
Rfam family: Bacterial small subunit ribosomal RNA
Source: RNAcentral
ACGCUCGACACCUACGGGAGGCGGCAGUAGGGAAUCUUCCACAAUGGACGCAAGUCUGAUGGAGCAACGCCGCGUGAGUGAAGAAGGUUUUCGGAUCGUAAAGCUCUGUUGUUGGUGAAGAAGGAUAGAGGUAGUAACUGGCCUUUAUUUGACGGUAAUCAACCAGAAAGUCACGGCUAACUACGUGCCAGCAGCCGCGGUAAUCUGAGCGGGCUGGCAAGGC